CUGCUUGUACACAGUUUCCCUUCCCCUUCUACCGAGGCCCCUCCAACGGGACUGGUGCCCGCUUAGGAGGGAGCCCUCCCGGUUCUGGAGCGGGCUCCCAUGAACAUCAGAGCUCCAACAAAAUUGGCCGUGGGCAGAGUGAGGUUCUACGGUCAACACCACGGGGAGGUCAACUGCUCUGCCUUCUCCCCUGAUGGCCGGAACCUGAUCACAGCCUCAGAUGAUGGUUGUGUGUAUGUAUGGGGGACGAAGAGUGGGCGACUGCUGUGGAGACUGGCAGGCCACAAAGGCCCAGUGAAGUCUUGCCGUUUCUCUCCCGAUGGCCGCCUCGUUGCCAGCUCCUCCUGUGACCACACCAUCCGCCUGUGGGAUGUGGCAAAAGCCAAAUGCCUGCAUGUGCUGAAAGGUCACCAGAGGAGUGUGGAAACUGUCAGCUUCAGCCCUGACUCAAAGCAGCUGGCAUCAGGUGGCUGGGACAAGAGGGUGAUUCUCUGGGAAGUGCAGUCCGGCCGCAAUGUGCGCUUCUUGCCUGGGCAUUGUGAUUCCAUCCAGAGCAGUGACUUCUCUCCAACCUCGGAUUCUCUGGCCACUGGCUCCUGGGACUCGACUGUGCACAUCUGGGACUUGCGGGCAUCAAGCCCAGCUGUCUCCUUCCGUAAUUUGGAGGGCCACACUGGCAACAUCAGCUGCUUGAAGUACUCAGCAUCUGGCCUCUUGGCAUCUGGCUCCUGGGACAAGACAGUCCGCAUCUGGAAGCCCACAACCAACAACCUGCUUCUGCAGCUCAGGGGCCACGCCACCUGGGUCAAUAGCCUAGCCUUCUCUCCCGAUGAGCUAAAGCUGGCCAGUGCUGGUUACUCUCGUAUGGUCAAAGUCUGGGACUGCCUCACAGGGAAAUGCCUUGAGACCCUAAAGGGCAUGCUGGAUGUGGCCCAUGCCUGCAUUUUCACUCCAAAUGGCAAACUCUUAGUGUCAGGGAUUGCUGACGCGACAAGAUGACAAGUCUGCUGAAAGUCAAGAACUUCAUCCAUGUAACUUACCCACAGGCCUAAGUACAAGGCCUCUAUAUAUACCCUGGGCUUGUUUCGUACCCAAGUUUGGCAUCGAAAGUUCGACACCACCUGGCAAGGGUCACAAUAGAGUCAAACUCCAGCAAAAACUGAUGGAGACGUAGUACAAAUCUCAUCCCCAGAUUUUUUGGCAUUUCCGAUUAUUGCUUUAGGUCUGGGCAUGGAAUCAGUCUUGUGACUCCAGCGCCCAGGCAGUGGAAAAGGAGGAUCCGGAGUUCAGGCCUCCUUCAUACCCUGAUUGUAUGAAGGAUUCCAAGACGUGCUGAGUUUGGUUCCGUGGUAGUGUUUGCCUGGCUUGCACAAAGCUGUGUCCAGUCCCCGGCAGCUGUUAUAUGAGUAAAUAAAAACUCCGAAACAAAAUCAGAGCCUUGCUUUAUUGCUAGUACUAGUUGAUCUUGGCGAGUCCCUUCGCGUCUCUGUUAAGUGUAUUUUUUUGAGGGUUAGAGGAACUAAACAAAACUUUCGAAGCUCCCAGCUAAGACCUGAUAGGUAAAGAUCGAGGAAAGUAUCAGUUGGUAUUAACAUGGUUAAAGAGCACAUAGCCCUUUACCCACAGUCCCAGACAGACCACCAGCAUGUAGAUCAGAGCAAAGCAGACUAGAUGUUAGGUUUCAGUAAUAAAUGACCAAACUGACCAAUCAGAGCCCUUUUCUUUGCCAAGCUCUUGCAGCUGCCCUUUUCCCAUCAGUUUCUCAGCUGUUGUUCAAGACAUGAUGCUGAUAGCCGACCAGGGACUCAGGGUACUGUAAUGAACAUUUUUUUAGUCACCACCCACCCCAAGAGUAGCAGCCUAACCUUGUAUCCUAAGUGCUCUUACGUACCAAAAUGAGUUAAGCCAUGUGUUUGUGUGCCUGUUUCCAGAGCCAGUCUUGAAGGUCUCUGAGGGUUUAAUGCUCUCUAGGCCCAGGAUGUGGGUCCUGCUUGGAUAGAAUGAAUUAAUAAGCCUUUUGUAAGUGGGAUAAGAGGAAAUGAGCAGAGUGUGGAUUAGUUUUAUCCUUUUUUUUUUUUUUUCGGGGAGCUGGGGACCGAACCCAGGGCCUUGCUCUUGCUAGGCAAGUGCUCUACCACUGAGCUAAAUCCCCAACCCUGUGGAUUAGUUUUAAAUGGAAGUCUAAAGAUACAACUUACCAGAUGAUCAGGAUUCUACUAGAGUUAUGAUUAUACAUAUUUCUGGAAAUUUUUUGUGGUGCUAGGAUUAAACCCAGGAUUCACAAUGUAUUUUUAAUUCCCAGUGUAUUGGGGUUACAUCCUCAUAUUUGAAGACAAAAACUUAUAGGUAAUUUAUUUUUACAUGGCACAUGCAGUGCCAACAGACGUGACUGGAUCACCCUGGAGGUAGAGCUGCUAUGUAGAUGCUGGGAACUGGGAACUGAACCUAGGUCUUCUCUAGGAGUAGCAAGUUUUUUGUUUGUUUUUUUUUUUUAAUUUUGAGACAGUUUCACUGUGUAGCCUUGGCUGAUCUGGAACUAUGUAGACCAAACUAUCUAGAACUCACAAGAACCUCUUGCCAUUGCUUCCUAAGUGCUGGGAUAAGAGGCAUGUGCCACAUUACUGGCUGUGUGCAGCAGGAGCUCUCCAGCCUGGGACUUGUUCUGAGGCAGGGACUCACUAAAUGCACAUAGAUGGUUGAUCCUCUUGGCUUAAUCCGGAGAAUCAGUAUUAAGGGAGUGUACCACCACAUCAAAUUUCAUAUCAUGAUUUAAAAUCCUAUCUGCCAGCCACUGGUAGUACAUGCCUUUAAUCCCAGCACUUGGGAGGCAGAGGUAGGUGGAUCUUCAGAGUUUGAGGUCAGUCUGGUCUACAGAGCAAGGUCCAAGACAGCCAGGGUAAAACAGAGAAACCCUGUCUCAAACAAAACAAAAAUCCCUUUUGCCUGAUGAACAUCCAUGAACACAAGCUAGAACAUUAUUUCAUUCAUUAGUUUAUUUGAGGCUAUUUACCUGUCAAACCAGUAUUUCUGGUAUUAAGUUCCUUCUGACCAAGAUGUUCUAAGGGAGGGACUGGAGUGAUGGCUGGGCAGUUAAAAGCACUUACUGCUUUUACAGAGGACCUGGGGUUCCAUUCCCAAUAACCAUAAGACAUGGUGGCUAGUAACCAUCUGUGUAAUCCCAGUUCCAAAAGGAUCCCACGUCCUUUCCUGGCCUCCAGCAGGCAAUACACCCAGGUGGUGCUCAAAAAUACUUGAAGACAAAAUAUUUAAGAAAAAUAAUAAAGUUGUUCUGGGGAUAUGAAUUCCUGCUAUCUUCUGAUUAACUUGCGCCCCUAUUACUUCUUAGGUAUGAGGCAGGACUACAUUCAGGAUCUGAGUCUUUAUUCAGCGUGUACUUGCCCCCAUGGGAGCUUGCCUUUAGCAUCCCAAGGUUAGGGUGCAUCAGCCUGGAAGUUUUUGAUUUGAAGUUAAAGGAGAACUAUGUAAAGCAAAACCAUGUUUCACCUGAUUUUUGUUCGCGUUCUAUUAGGUGAAAAUAUAAUAGCUUUCGUAUAAUUACAAAAAAAAGGAUUCAUUUUAGCCUACGGUUGAAAUAAAGAGAAACCAGCAUCCCAAGCGUCCGUCCUAGAAGCCACCUUCCUCCCAUCGAAUUAUGGGAAUUCUGUAGUUUUCGCCUCCUAAAAUGCGCCUCUUCAGUUAGGAGUACAGGUGGCCAUGAGUCAUCUUUAUUUUCUGGAACGCUCGCAGGGGUCGGUACAUCCUCAAGUAAAGUUGUUACCAAGCGUCCUGCCAGCCCCGGGUUAUACAUUAACGCCUUUAGAGCCGUUUAGUUUUAACAAAGAAGUCCCUUGUGGGUCAAUGCGGUUAGUGUUUAAGAGACUCCGGCACUGCGGUUCACUACCACUCAUCUCCAUCAGCUCAUAAACUUCUUCCUCCGGAGCGGACAGAGGCGGAAGAUGUCCUUGCACUGCAGUCCGGCUUCUGGGACGACAGAGUUACGCCUGCAACCUCCGACAGCACUACACCAGCUUUCCAC
Molecule: non-coding RNA, 4036 nt
Organism: Rattus norvegicus (Norway rat)
Lineage: Eukaryota; Metazoa; Chordata; Mammalia; Rodentia; Muridae
Source: RefSeq, a predicted model, not a curated record